ACUCAAAGGAAUAGACGGGGACCCGCACAAGCGGUGGAACAUGUGGUUUAAUUCGAGGCAACGCGAAGAACCUUACCAGGAUUCGACAUGCUCUCUAUGGACUCCCGAAAAGGAGUCCUUCACUUCGGGUGGGAGAAGCACAGGUGCUGCAUGGCUGUCGUCAGCUCGUGUCGUGAGAUGUUGGGUUAAGUCCCGCAACGAGCGCAACCCUCGUCCUCUGUUGCUACCAGGUAAUGCUGAGCACUCUGAGGAAACUGCCGGUGAUAAGCCGGAGGAAGGUGGGGAUGACGUCAAGUCCUCAUGGCCCUUACAUCCUGGGCUACACACGUGUUACAAUGGCGGUGACAAUGGGUCGCGAAAGCGCAAGCUGGAGCCAAUCCCCAAAAGCCGCCUCAGUUCGGAUUGUUCUCUGCAACUCGAGAACAUGAAGCUGGAAUCGCUAGUAAUCGUGGAUCAGCACGCCACGGUGAAUACGUUCCCGGGUCUUGUACACACCGCCCGU
RNAcentral lists this ribosomal RNA (502 nucleotides) under uncultured bacterium. RNAcentral's name for it is "partial 16S ribosomal RNA". It matches the Rfam family "Bacterial small subunit ribosomal RNA", at positions 899 to 1397 of the family's 1533-position model. The record is from RNAcentral.